UACAGAGGUCUCAAGCGUUGUUCGGAUUCAUUGGGCGUAAAGGGUGCGUAGGCGGCGCGGUAAGUCGGGUGUGAAAUCUCGGAGCUUAACUCCGAAACUGCAUUCGAUACUGCCGUGCUUGAGGACUGGAGAGGAGACUGGAAUUUACGGUGUAGCGGUGAAAUGCGUAGAUAUCGUAAGGAAGACCAGUGGCGAAGGCGGGUCCCUGGACAACACCUGACACUGAGGCACGAAAGCUAGGGGAGCAAACAGG
This 253-nucleotide ribosomal RNA is filed under the name uncultured bacterium. RNAcentral's name for it is "partial 16S ribosomal RNA". It matches the Rfam family "Bacterial small subunit ribosomal RNA", at positions 524 to 776 of the family's 1533-position model. The record is from RNAcentral.